AGUGAACGCUGGCGGUAGGCCUAACACAUGCAAGUCGAACGGCAGCACAGUAAGAGCUUGCUCUUACGGGUGGCGAGUGGCGGACGGGUGAGGAAUACAUCGGAAUCUACUUUUUCGUGGGGGAUAACGUAGGGAAACUUACGCUAAUACCUCAUACGACCUACGGGUGAAAGCAGGGGAUCUUCGGACCUUGCGCGAUAGAAUGAGCCGAUGUCGGAUUAGCUAGUUGGCUGGGUAAAGGCCCACCAAGGCGACGAUCCGUAGCUGGUCUGAGAGGAUGAUCAGCCACACUGGAACUGAGACACGGUCCAGACUCCUACGGGAGGCAGCAGUGGGGAAUAUUGGACAAUGGGCGCAAGCCUGAUCCAGCCACACCGCGUGGGUGAAGAAGGCCUUCGGGUUGUAAAGCCCUUUUGUUGGGAAAGAAAAGCAGCAGGUUAAUACCCCGCUGUUCUGACGGUACCCAAAGAAUAAGCACCGGCUAACUUCGUG
This 492-nucleotide ribosomal RNA is filed under the name uncultured bacterium. Its description in RNAcentral is "partial 16S ribosomal RNA". It matches the Rfam family "Bacterial small subunit ribosomal RNA", at positions 29 to 507 of the family's 1533-position model. The record is from RNAcentral.